AACACUCUCAAUCACUCUCAAUCUCUCUCAAAACCUAGAUAUCGGGUUCUAGCCUUUUUUUCUAGACUGAAGCCAAUUUAUCCCAAUUCCCAAAUCGAAGAAUCGAAGACAGAACCCUAUCAUGAACGAAGUCGCCGUUUUCACGUUUUGAACCAAAACUGGAGUCGCCCUCUCUCAGUCUCUUUCUCUCAGAGACUCAGAGUCUCAGUCUCUCCCUCUCUCUACGGUCCGGCUGCAUGAUUCUCAGGCUCUCAGCGGCUCAACCUCUCUCCGACUGUCGGAGUCCCCGGUGACAACGAAUUUCUGUCAUCACUCAUUCACUCUUGGUUUGCUUCUUCGACUCCUCCUCAAGCUGUCAAGCCACUCCUCAAGCAGCAAACUUUGGGCUUUCUGGGUUCGAUUUCUGGGUUCAAGGCUUCAAGGAGUUCAAGCUCGGUGAUUCUGCAAUACAUUGGAAAUCUCAAAGCGUUACAUACAGAAGAGAGAUUGGAUUGUAGGAGCUGACUAUUGACAAGUCUAGGCGACUGAAUUUCU
Rosa chinensis is the source of this 534-nucleotide long non-coding RNA. RefSeq lists it as uncharacterized. The record is from RefSeq and is a predicted model, not a curated record. Lineage: Eukaryota; Viridiplantae; Streptophyta; Magnoliopsida; Rosales; Rosaceae. The transcript has 4 exons.